AUACCUAUCUGACAGGGAGGCAUUCUGAUCAUGAAGGUGUUUUUUGAGAGUGAGCCUCAUCACUAGCACUUCAGGUAGACUGAUUUCUGCAACUUCCCCAGAUCAGGGAACUUGACAGUAAAACUUGUGAUGUGGGAAACUGUUUUUGUUCUUUUUCCUG
Small nuclear RNA from Neopelma chrysocephalum (saffron-crested tyrant-manakin), 160 nucleotides. RefSeq annotates it as U1 spliceosomal RNA. Lineage: Eukaryota; Metazoa; Chordata; Aves; Passeriformes; Pipridae. The transcript has a single exon. The record is from RefSeq and is a predicted model, not a curated record.